This 377-nucleotide ribosomal RNA is filed under the name uncultured bacterium. RNAcentral's name for it is "bacterial SSU rRNA". It matches the Rfam family "Bacterial small subunit ribosomal RNA", at positions 521 to 896 of the family's 1533-position model. The record is from RNAcentral.
UAAUACGGAGGGUGCAAGCGUUGUUCGGAAUUAUUGGGCGUAAAGCGCGUGUAGGCGGUCUGUUAAGUCUGAUGUGAAAGCCCGGGGCUCAACCCCGGAAGUGCAUUGGAUACUGGCAGACUUGAGUACGGGAGAGGGAAGUGGAAUUCCGAGUGUAGGAGUGAAAUCCGUAGAUAUUCGGAGGAACACCGGUGGCGAAGGCGGCUUCCUGGACCGAUACUGACGCUGAGACGCGAAAGCGUGGGGAGCAAACAGGAUUAGAUACCCUGGUAGUCCACGCCGUAAACGAUGGGUACUAGGUGUCGCGGGUAUUGACCCCUGCGGUGCCGAAGCUAACGCAUUAAGUACCCCGCCUGGGGAGUACGGCCGCAAGGCUA